CUACGUAGGGUGCAAGCGUUAAUCGGAAUUACUGGGCGUAAAGCGUGCGCAGGCGGUUAUUUAAGACAGGUGUGAAAUCCCCGGGCUUAACCUGGGAACUGCACUUGUUACUGCAAGGCUGGAGUACGGCAGAGGGGGGUGGAAUUCCCCGUGUAGCAGGGAAAUGCGUAGAUAUGCGGAGGAACACCGAUGGCGAAGGCAAUCCCCUGGGCCUGUACUGACGCUCAUGCACGAAAGCGUGGGGAGCAAACAGGAUUAGAUACCCUGGUAGUCCACGCCCUAAACGAUGUCAACUGGUUGUUGGACGGCUUGCUGUUCAGUAACGAAGCUAACGCGUGAAGUUGACCGCCUGGGGAGUACGGCCGCAAGGUUGAAACUUAAAGGAAUUGACGGGG
RNAcentral lists this ribosomal RNA (395 nucleotides) under uncultured bacterium. Its description in RNAcentral is "partial 16S ribosomal RNA". It matches the Rfam family "Bacterial small subunit ribosomal RNA", at positions 523 to 918 of the family's 1533-position model. The record is from RNAcentral.